RNAcentral lists this ribosomal RNA (589 nucleotides) under Histoplasma capsulatum. RNAcentral describes it as "LSU rRNA". It matches the Rfam family "Eukaryotic large subunit ribosomal RNA", at positions 28 to 632 of the family's 3401-position model. Lineage: Eukaryota; Fungi; Ascomycota; Eurotiomycetes; Onygenales; Ajellomycetaceae. The record is from RNAcentral.
CUGAACUUAAGCAUAUCAAUAAGCGGAGGAAAAGAAACCAACAGGGAUUGCCUCAGUAACGGCGAGUGAAGCGGCAAGAGCUCAAAUUUGAAAUCCCGCCUCGGGGGCCUGAGUUGUAAUUUGCAGAGGAUGCUUCGGGCGCGACCGCGGUCCAAGUCCCCUGGAACGGGGUGUCGUAGAGGGUGAGAAUCCCGUCUCGGCCGGCCGGUCUCGCCCGUGUGAAGCUCCUUCGACGAGUCGAGUUGUUUGGGAAUGCAGCUCCAAAUGGGUGGUAAAUUUCAUCUAAAGCUAAAUACUGGUCGGAGACCGAUAGCGCACAAGUAGAGUGAUCGAAAGAUGAAAAGCACUUUGAAAAGAGAGUUAAACAGCAUCGUGAAAUUGUUGAAAGGGAAGCGCUUGCGACCAGAGUCGGCCGCGGGGGUUCAGCGGGCAUUCGUUGCCCGUGCAAUCCCCCGCGGCCGGGCCAGCGUCGGUUUCGACGGCCGGUCAAAGGUCCCCGGAAUGUGUCGCCUCUCGGGGCGUCUUAUAGCCGGGGGUGCAAUGCGGCCAGUCGGGACCGAGGAACGCGCUCCGGCACGGACGCUGGCUU